RNAcentral lists this ribosomal RNA (468 nucleotides) under uncultured bacterium. RNAcentral describes it as "partial 16S ribosomal RNA". It matches the Rfam family "Bacterial small subunit ribosomal RNA", at positions 28 to 507 of the family's 1533-position model. The record is from RNAcentral.
GACGAACGCUGGCGGCGUGCUUAACACAUGCAAGUCGAACGGAAAGGCCCUGCUUUUGUGGGGUGCUCGAGUGGCGAACGGGUGAGUAACACGUGAGUAACCUGCCCUUGACUUUGGGAUAACUUCAGGAAACUGGGGCUAAUACCGGAUAGGAGCUCCUGCUGCAUGGUGGGGGUUGGAAAGUUUCGGCGGUUGGGGAUGGACUCGCGGCUUAUCAGCUUGUUGGUGGGGUAGUGGCUUACCAAGGCUUUGACGGGUAGCCGGCCUGAGAGGGUGACCGGCGACAUGGGGACUGAGAUACGGCCCAGACUGCAACGGGAGGCAGCAGUGGGGAAUAUUGCACAAUGGGCGGAAGCCUGAUGCAGCAACGCCGCGUGCGGGAUGACGGCCUUCGGGUUGAAAACCGCUUUCGCCUGUGACGAAGCGGGAGUGACGGUAAUGGGUAAAGAAGCACCGGCUAACUACGUG